Molecule: ribosomal RNA, 436 nt
Filed under: Campsicnemus comatus
Lineage: Eukaryota; Metazoa; Arthropoda; Insecta; Diptera; Dolichopodidae
Description: partial 16S ribosomal RNA
Source: RNAcentral
GCCGCAGUAUUUUAACUGUGCAAAGGUAGCAUAAUAAUUAGUCUUUUAAUUGAAGACUUGUAUGAAUGAUUGGACGAGAUAUAAACUGUCUCAUAAAAAUUUUUUUAGAAUUUAAUUUUUUAGUUAAAAAGCUAAAAUAAAUUUAAAAGACGAGAAGACCCUAUAGAUCUUUAUAUUUUUUUUAAUUAUUAUCCUUUAGUUUUUUUAUAAAUUAAUAAAUAAAAAUAUUUUGUUGGGGUGACAUUGAAAUUUAAUAAACUUUCAAAAUUUAAUAACAUUAAUUUAUGAAUUUAUGAUCCUUUAUUAUUGAUUAAAAAUUUAAGUUACCUUAGGGAUAACAGCGUAAUUAUUUUGGAGAGUUCUUAUUGAUAAAAUAGAUUGCGACCUCGAUGUUGGAUUAAGAUUAAUUUUGGAUGUAGUAGUUCAAUUUAUUAAG